UCAAGAGUUAUUCAAAAGAACGAAAACAAAACGGAGAUUAGGGAAUUAAUUUUGCUUUUUUUUUUCAAAAUAAGGUAUAGGAAACAAACAAAAUAGCCCCAAGCUCCCCCCAUAAGAAUGCAGAAAAUAUGGGCAUCACAUCAGCCCGAAGCAGACGAAAACCGAUUCGACCUGGAACCAAAUUUUUCUUCAUCAAUCAGCUGCCGUCAUAAGUUUCCAAGAUGGAUUAUUCUAUUUGCCAGGAGCUGGCAAAACCGAACUCUAUAUACCUGGUCGGAUGGACAGUCUGGAAUUCAUGGCCGCCGAAUCCUCACCGCUGUCCCCUGAGUUGAGGAACAGGAACAAACGGAAGGAGACUACACAUUAUCAACGGGCAAGUCUUGGUCGCUACACAACAUACACACAAUCUAGCUUUCUAUUUUGAUUCGAUUUCUGGCUUGACUUACCUGAAUUUCCGCGAAUCGUCCGUCCUCAUUGCAUUCAGGAAUGAAAGUCUCGCCAGUAGGCGCCGAUUUUUUGCCCAGUCCACCAGCACUGCCGACGCCGCCCGCUUGGUCUUAUCCUGUUUAACUUCGUUUCCCCAUCGUCAAGAAUAAGAAAAAGGCCCGGCAGGUUGAAUAGGAGCCGGAAAAAAAAAAGAAAAAACACCGAAGGAAGAACACCUGGGUUUCCCCUCCUCCGCUGGAAUGAAGAAGAACUUUUUCUUCUUCACAAGACCGCACCGCCAACAUCCUACUCCACACACACGUACGUACGAGGUCCCCAAGAAAAAGAAAAAAAAGGAGAUGAAUAUCUGGACGAGACAGAACUUGUCCAUUCGCGUCACGUUUUCACAUCCGGAAUACCAUGACGGAAUGGAAUUUCGAAGAGUCUCUUCCAGACUGGAUUGCCUACAGUACCCUCCACCAAUAAUAGCCAAAAGGCAAGUAUUAUUAAAAUAUCUUUCCUAGUAAAAAUGUACAAAAAAUGUUUGGACCAAACAAAAUGGUGUCAAUCUAAAAAAGAAGCCCUGGAGAUAUAUAUGUAUAAAAAAAGUGUGAAGAUAUCUAAAAGUCGAUAGGGCGAGGCAAUAAUAACCAUUUCACACCACCACAAGAGAGAGAGAGAAAGAUAAAAAGAGGAGCGACCGAUAGGACCAUCUAAAGGGGGCCAUAAGGAGAGGAGGACGAGGCGGAGCAGUCGAGAAAGAAUCAACCGGAAUAUUAUAGUACAACAGGGAAAAAGUGGUCGUGGAAGAAGGGGAACGACUCGACUGUGGCAGACAGCAUGGCGUCGGCCCCCUUUUUUUAAAAAAUAUUUUUUUUUUUUCUUUUCUUUCUCUCGAAGCGAGAAAAUCCCUUUCGAAUUCUUUUGUCAAGACACACACCAGAAAGUCUCUCAACGGCGCACGGGGUUUAUUUUUUAGGCUUGUCCAUCGGAGACAAGGACCGAGUGACCUUUUGACCCUAAGUCAUAAACUGAAAAGAAAUAAAGAAACCAAAAAAUUGGUAGAAAAAGAAGAAGAAGAGACGGCAGGGAGCCCCCGCACUCUCUCCGGAGACGAUCGUUUGGAAUCGACCUCUUCUUUUUAUAUGAAUAUUAGGCAUCCCCCCUCUUCCUCAAUCUUCAGGUGGCAAUUGUUAUACAUCCCACCAGCUAAAGGAGAAGAAGAAGACCGCUCUUUUUUUUUCCUUUCCUUUUUAAAGGAGGAUUUAUGCUACAGAUGCAACACCUGCAACACGACGCUAUAUAACCUGAGAGAGGCCGCGCUCUUUCACAAUCAACGCCCUUGAUCCCUCCCUUAGCCCCGAUGAUCAUCUACAACAUUCGACUGUUAACAGGAAAAGUCUUUUUCUCUUAAACAAGCUGCUGAACUUGUUCACACCUUGCAAUCAUCAAGUUGUUAAGAUUGUCAUCCGCCACUGUCUGCGGUUUGUAGUUAACAGGAUUGCGAGGGGAUUAUGUUUGCGAGAUUAAUGACUCGAAUGAGAGGGGGAUUAAGGGAAUAUCAAAAUGGGCCAGGGUAGGGGUGUGAAAGGCGGCAGAAUUGGCAGGUGUGAAACAAGACGAUGAACUGAUAAGUGGAUUGAUAAUAAUGUCCGUAAUCUUACCUUUGGCACUAGUGGAAGGUGUGAUGAAACCAUGUUCCAUGUCCAACAGAAGGUUAACAGCAAAGAGCACCAAUUCCGGAGCAACAUUUUUCCUUCCGGUUGUUGUUGUUGAUGUUGAAAGUUCAAAAUUCUCUCGAGGUGGGCGAAACACUCAAAGCGCACAAACUAGUUGGUAGCACUUUUUUUCAGGAUUAGCGAAUCGAUUAGGGAAAUUUAAAA
Molecule: long non-coding RNA, 2309 nt
Filed under: Daphnia pulicaria
Lineage: Eukaryota; Metazoa; Arthropoda; Branchiopoda; Diplostraca; Daphniidae
Description: uncharacterized LOC124311645
Source: RNAcentral